Molecule: ribosomal RNA, 253 nt
Filed under: uncultured bacterium
Lineage: Bacteria
Description: partial 16S ribosomal RNA
Rfam family: Bacterial small subunit ribosomal RNA
Source: RNAcentral
UACGGAGGGUGCAAGCGUUGUUCGGAAUCACUGGGCGUAAAGCGCGUGUAGGCGGUCUGCUAAGUCUGAUGUGAAAGCCCGGGGCUCACCCUCGGAAGUGCAUUGGAAACUGGCAGACUGGAGUCCCGGAGAGGAGGGUGGAAUUCCUGGUGUAGCGGUGAAAUGCGUAGAUAUCAGGAGGAACACCGGUGGCGAAGGCGGCCCUCUGGACGGUGACUGACGAUGAGACGCGAAAGCGUGGGGAGCAAACAGG